This 350-nucleotide ribosomal RNA is filed under the name uncultured Pseudomonas sp. Its description in RNAcentral is "bacterial SSU rRNA". It matches the Rfam family "Bacterial small subunit ribosomal RNA", at positions 1071 to 1424 of the family's 1533-position model. Lineage: Bacteria; Pseudomonadati; Pseudomonadota; Gammaproteobacteria; Pseudomonadales; Pseudomonadaceae. The record is from RNAcentral.
GGAAUGGGGUUAGUCCGUACGAGCGCACCCUUGUCCUUAGUUACCAGCACGUUAAGGUGGGCACUCUAAGGAGACUGCCGGUGACAAACCGGAGGAAGGUGGGGAUGACGUCAAGUCAUCAUGGCCCUUACGGCCUGGGCUACACACGUGCUACAAUGGUCGGUACAAAGGGUUGCCAAGCCGCGAGGUGGAGCUAAUCCCAUAAAACCGAUCGUAGUCCGGAUCGCAGUCUGCAACUCGACUGCGUGAAGUCGGAAUCGCUAGUAAUCGUGAAUCAGAAUGUCACGGUGAAUACGUUCCCGGGCCUUGUACACACCGCCCGUGGGGCGGGGGCGGCGGGCCGGGCGCGG